Molecule: long non-coding RNA, 4414 nt
Organism: Astatotilapia calliptera (eastern happy)
Lineage: Eukaryota; Metazoa; Chordata; Actinopteri; Cichliformes; Cichlidae
Source: Ensembl
GCCGGUAGGCUCUGCCAGAGCAGACGAAUGCACCAGCAAGUGUGAUGGGGUGAGACAGGCCUCCACAGUUGUGGGGGGCCUGAGAUUGAGUUGAAGACCCGACCCACAGAAGCAACAGGCACGCACAGAAACAAAAAUGCAUUCCCAAACUCAUGCAAACACACACAAAUUUUUACCCUCUAACUGGUGCCUAUUGAGACAGUUGUGCUUAGUUCACAGGACAUAAAUCCAGAAGCAGACAAAUCAUAGGGAUAGGUUAAUGGUACAUUAUCAAAUAAUGGGCAGUUUAAAAAAACUAAUGGAUUAAGUAGACAGGCCAUUCUUUAUAAUGAAUAAAGAGCUCUCUGGAUGUCAGAAGGGGGGGUUUCCACACUUUAACAACAAUUCCAGGGUGUCCAAUGGCUUGUACCUGUGUAAAUAAUUGAAUAACCUUGACUGAAUCAAUCCAUUACAGCUUUUUUUUUUUCCUUUCUUUCUAAAUUGUGCCUCACAACGCAUCAGUGAAAUUCUUAGUGACCAAAGGUCAGUUAAUUGCAAAUACAUUCUCCGGCUUGUUGUUCUUCCUCCUUCAGCCCAUGAAAAACAUUUGGCUGUGCUGAGAGAGAAAAAAGCAGAUCGGCAUUUUUGCUGUGAGACUGCUUGUGUGGCAGGAAGCGUGUAAAUGGUGCUUCACAUUCGUCGCAGCAGCAGUGAGCGUGAGCAGCUGACGGGAAUGAGAAUGAACAUCACUGUUUGCGGACAUGAAAUGAACGCACUCUCCAGCAGCUCAGUUAUGUUAAGUCUGUUUUUCUGUAGCCGAACUUAAACAUGGAGCUCUGUUUGCCUGACAGCAUCAAGGCCAGUGGGGAGUGGGCCAGCAGGGAGGAGGUAAAUGAGCCCAGCAUUCAAAAGAAGAGGGUGGAGUCGUUUAGGAUGUAAUGAGCUUCAACCCAGCCUCCUGUCUCUGUGUUUUCAUACAGACCUUAUUUUGUUAACGUCACACCCUCAUAUGAGCUGACAUUGAAUAUUUCCUUCCCUCCUCCACCGCUCCAGCUGGAUCUGUCUGUAGCUUAAUUCAUCUCUCAUGUUUCAGGUUUAUUUUGCUUGGGUUAACUGCUGUUUACCCUCCUCUCGUGACGACUUGGAAGUACAUGUUUGUUCUCUACAGGGUGCUUUUGGACUAUAAUUAGAGUAGCAGGUUUGAGGUAAACAAGUCUGAAUUUAGGUUAUAUAUUCCCAGUGUUAUAGGUUAAGGUUAGUGGUGCUCCUUUACAACACAGAUGCUCUGAAAUUCUCUGAAUUUGGAUCCUACUUAACAGUGUCUGUUACGUUUUUACUCCUCAAACAAUAUCUUUUUCUAAAGUGGGUUAAAUGUGAAACACUCCCCAGUUGGAGUCACCUACAGCAGUUUCAUCCCACAUGCACAUGUUAAGUCAUCUACCUGCUGUCCCUUAGACUUGGGGAUAAUUAUUGCCUCGGAGUUGUAAACGGUCUCAGCUUCCCUCCUGUCUGCUCUAACAAAGAGCAAGAACUCAGUUUUAUCUUUAUUCUUUAAAAUGUACAAUGUUUGCACAGUUUGAGAAUAAAUGGAAACUUUAAUGUUUUCAUUUGUGUUGCAAGGGCAGAUAAACAUGCAGAAAUUCUCCAAGCUGUUUUGACAAAAACGGUGCAGAGGUAGAAGUGAAUUUCUUGGCUGUAAACACAAGAUGGAAACAGUCUCACUAAAUGUGCAUGAAAGAGUUUCUUUUAAUGUCACAGCUUGCAUACACUCACCUGUGUAAUUGUUCAUGACGUGGUAAAUAGACUGGUUCCUAUAUCUUGCUUUUCUACUCUACCUGAGCACUCAAACCACUCGCUUUGUAUGAAUGGGGCAUGUUGUAUAAACACUACUUUUGUGUGUUCUAACAUUUACAUUUCAAUGGAUGCAUCAGGGUAAGCAUCUUAAGGACAAGAUUUGACAUGUAGACUGGAGCAGCUUGGGAUCGAACCACCAACUUUCCGAUUAGAUGACCUGCUCUGCUUUCUAAGCUACAGCAACUCCUUUAGAUUCAACCGAAUGGCACAGAUUCAAAAAGGUGCUGGAACUGUUCCUCAGACAUUUUGUUCCAUGUUGAUAUGAUGGCAUCUGCGCCACUGCAGAUUCAUCCGGUGCACAUCAUGAUGUGACCCUGUUCCACCACAUCCCAAAGGUGCGCUGUUGCACUGAGAUCAGGUAAUUAGAGGUCUUAAGGUUUGAUAUGAUCUGAGCUUUAUGACAGAGCUUUAUCCUGCUGGAGUCUGUAACCACAAUGUACUCAUCUUCUGGUGGCUAAGGAAUGGAUGUGGUCAGCAGCAAUAAUCAGGUAAGCUGUGGUGUUUUAAAUGAUGAUCACUGACACAAGGCAGUAUGGAUUCAUGGUGUCAUGCUGUUUAUGCCAAAUUUUGACCCCAAAUUUCAAAGGUCGCAGCAGAAAUCGGGACUCUUCAGACCAGGCAAUGCUUGUUUUUUUCGGGGGGGUAUGUUGUGGUGUUUCUGGGUUGUUUUUUUUUGUUUUUGUUUUUUGUUUUUUUUUUUGUUUUUUUUUUGUUUAAUCGUCUGGCUAAUUUUGGCGAGCUAUUGUCACCUCAGUUUCCCGUUAUACCUGCUGCCUUCCUAGCAGCUCAAAGCAGUCUGGCCAGUCUCCUCUGGCAUCGACAAGAUGUUUUCACCCAGAGAACUGAACAUUUUCUUUUUCAACACAUUCUCUGUUCAUAGCAUUUCAGAAACUGCUGAUCUGCUGGAAUUUUCCCACACGAUGUUACUUGGAUUUACAGUGUCUGGCACCGCCAAAAACUACCACCAUGUUACAUUCAACGUCACUUUGCUCUUGUCUCCUCACAUUGCAAAAUCUGCCAUAAAAUCCUUGAAUAUUUCUUUUUUUUUUUUUUUUUUUUUUAUCUUUCAAAAGAGUGCAAAUGCACCAGAGUAUGGACCACAUGUAAGAGUAAAAGACACUGAUUUAAAAAAAUUUGAUUUGACGAUCAUUUUUGGCUGUGUUAAGCUUCUGUCAUGGAUUCUUUUUGCAGGAAAUCUUUUUCAUCAAUGGAAAAAGUUGGAAAAAAAAAUGUCUGAGGAGGGCUUAAGGGUUAAAUGACCUUUCUUCCCCUACUGAUGAUCAGCUUAAAGUUCAGUGGCUUAAAUGAGACGAUGGAGACCUCCCAGGAUGGGAAAGAAAGAAGCUUCAAAUUCAGGUCCUGCAUUGACGCCGAUCACACCAGGACAUUUGAUCUGAAGUCGCAGCCACAACCUCUGACUUCCUCACAGCGCUUCUUUUUCACACACGAAGGGAAAUGUCAAAUGUUUGCAUUUUCAGAGGGAGCUGGGUGUUAUUUUUCUUGGCAGGCUUGAGCUCAGCAGCUGGAGACUUGCAGUCAGGUCAGAGAGGCUGACAAGGUUGCUACACCACCCCCUGAGCUUUUUUUUUUCCUUCUUCUCCUUCUUAAAUGGGGUGGCAAAGGAGAAAAUGGGAGCCUAUCAGGAGAAUCUUUGGUUUUGUAAAUUCACAAGUAUCAAUUAUAAAUUGAGAGGUGGGUCCACAACUGUAAGAAUAUGGCUAAUACACCGAAGCACACAAUUCAGUGUCAUCUCUGCUUACCUUUAUUCUAAACACAGCUCAUGCUUCUGCUUUCAGCUACAUUAGUGAUCAGUGGGGGUUAGUUUAGUUGAUUGCUUUUUAUUUUUACCAGAAAAGGCCCAUUGAGAUCAGUCUUUUUUUUUUUUUUCAUAAAAACAAAAGACCCAGCAAAAGUUGCAAUCUGUCUUCUCUUUUGUUUAGAACAUUCUUUAACUCAGUAAAAUUUUUCCAAAUUUUAUAAACUCUGUUUAACGAAUUCAGAGGUCCAGAUGCCCUUACAUUCAUUAAACAGUGCAACCAUGGGUACUAAAUUAUGGGUAUGGACAAGUGCCAUGCAUGUUUUGUUUCUGUACAUGUUAAAAUAAAUGGCCUGCUUACAUUUUUUUUAAUUUAAAAUGGUAUAAGCUGAAAGUAUUCCUUCUCUUUGUAAUUUCACUGUCUGAAAUAAAAUGUGCGUUGACUCAUACUCUCCUGGAAGAAAUAAACGUGGUGUCCGAUUAGUAUUAAUGUGAUUAUAGGACUGAUUCUGCCAACAGUUAAACACUUUUCUGUUGUUAACCUGUCUUGGGGUGCACUACAAAAGUAAAAGCAACAUGCUGUAUUCUGUAUGUAUUUCAGACUGUAUAGUUGGUCAAGCAGUUGAUAAUCUAACCAUUCGAGGCCCUCUGUACAAACACACUCGUAAGUACAGUGUUUGGACAACCCAUCUGUCUCUUCUUCAUUGGUGGAGUCCUUUCCAAGUAAACUCUUUGACUCAGUUGCUAGGAAACUUCUACUCUGUCUCUGCCCUCCUGACUGCGAGCAGCCGGCUCGCUCCUCCUCGUGAUGUAAGGACGCUGUAA